This 491-nucleotide ribosomal RNA is filed under the name uncultured bacterium. RNAcentral's name for it is "partial 16S ribosomal RNA". It matches the Rfam family "Bacterial small subunit ribosomal RNA", at positions 29 to 507 of the family's 1533-position model. The record is from RNAcentral.
GUGAACGCUGGCGGUAGGCCUAACACAUGCAAGUCGAACGGCAGCACAGUAAGAGCUUGCUCUUACGGGUGGCGAGUGGCGGACGGGUGAGGAAGACAUCGGAAUCUACUUUUUCGUGGGGGAUAACGGAGGGAAACUUACGCUAAUACCGCAUACGACCUACGGGUGAAAGCAGGGGAUCUUCGGACCUUGCGCGAUUGAAUGAGCCGAUGUCGGAUUAGCUAGUUGGCGGGGUAAAGGCCCACCAAGGCGACGAGCCGUAGCUGGUCUGAGAGGAGGAUCAGCCACACUGGAACUGAGACACGGUCCAGACUCCUACGGGAGGCAGCAGUGGGGAAUAUUGGACAAUGGGCGCAAGCCUGAUCCAGCCAUACCGCGUGGGUGAAGAAGGCCUUCGGGUUGUAAAGCCCUUUUGUUGGGAAAGAAAAGCAGCAGGUUAAUACCCCGCUGUUCUGACGGUACCCAAAGAAUAAGCACCGGCUAACUUCGUG